AGAAUCAACGCUGGCGGCGUGCCUCAGACAUGCAAGUCGAACGCGAAAGUUCCCUUCGGGGAACAAGUAGAGUGGCGCACGGGUGAGUAACACGUAGGUAAUCUACCUUCGGAUGGGGAAUAACAAUCGGAAACGGUUGCUAAUACCGCAUAAUGCAGCGGCACCUAAUGGUGACAGUUGUUAAAGCGAGGGAUCGAAAGACCUCGCGUCUGAAGAGGAGCCUGCGGCGGAUUAGCUAGUUGGUAAGGUAAUGGCUUACCAAGGCUACGAUCCGUAACCGGCCUGAGAGGGCGGUCGGUCACACUGACACUGACAUACGGGUCAGACUCCGUACGGGAGGCAGCAGUCGGGAAUUUUGGGCAAGUGGGACGAAGCCUGACCCAGCAACGCCGCGUGAAGGAUAGAAAUCCCUCGGAUGUAAACGUUCGAC
Molecule: ribosomal RNA, 430 nt
Filed under: uncultured soil bacterium
Lineage: Bacteria
Description: bacterial SSU rRNA
Rfam family: Bacterial small subunit ribosomal RNA
Source: RNAcentral